RNAcentral lists this ribosomal RNA (405 nucleotides) under uncultured bacterium. RNAcentral's name for it is "partial 16S ribosomal RNA". It matches the Rfam family "Bacterial small subunit ribosomal RNA", at positions 30 to 526 of the family's 1533-position model. The record is from RNAcentral.
AUUGAACGCUGGCGGCAGGCCUAACACAUGCAAGUCGAGCGAGCGGCGGACGGGUGAGUAAUGCUUGGGAAUCUAGCUUAUGGAGGGGGAUAACUACGGGAAACUGUCGCUAAUACCGCGUACCAUAGGAUGAGCCCAAGUGGGAUUAGGUAGUUGGUGAGGUAAAGGCUCACCAAGCCGACGAUCUCUAGCUGGUCUGAGAGGAUGAACAGCCACCCUGGGACUGAGACACGGCCCAUACUCCUACGGGAGGCAGCAGUGGGGAAGAUGGCGCAAUGGGGGCAACCUGACGCAGCCAUGCCGCGUGAAUGAAGAAGUCCUUCGGGUUGUAAAGUUCUUUCGGUAGCGAGGCGUUAACUACAGAAGAAGCACCGGCUAACUCCGUGCCAGCAGCCGCGGUAAUUC